Molecule: ribosomal RNA, 393 nt
Filed under: uncultured bacterium
Lineage: Bacteria
Description: partial 16S ribosomal RNA
Rfam family: Bacterial small subunit ribosomal RNA
Source: RNAcentral
AUACGGAGGAUCCGAGCGUUAUCCGGAUUUAUUGGGUUUAAAGGGAGCGUAGGUGGGAUAUUAAGUCAGCUGUGAAAGUUUGGGGCUCAACCUUAAAAUUGCAGUUGAUACUGGUUUCCUUGAGUACGGUACAGGUGGGCGGAAUUCGUGGUGUAGCGGUGAAAUGCUUAGAUAUCACGAAGAACUCCGAUCGCGAAGGCAGCUCACCGGGCCGGAACUGACACUGAUGCUCGGAAGUGCGGGUAUCAAACAGGAUUAGAUACCCUGGUAGUCCGCACAGUAAACGAUGAAUACUCGCUGUUUGCGAUACACUGUAAGCGGCCAAGCGAAAGCGUUAAGUAUUCCACCUGGGGAGUACGCCGGCAACGGUGAAACUCAAAGGAAUUGACGGGG